AGGCAGCCUACUUGCCACGAUAACAAAUGGCAUGAGAGGUGUUAAACUGCUCGUAUAUAAAAUGCUUUUGCUCUUCAGACUUGCUGAAAUUAUUUUGAAGCUGGUCUAGUAAGCUUACGUACAUU
Non-coding RNA from Vigna angularis (adzuki bean), 125 nucleotides. Lineage: Eukaryota; Viridiplantae; Streptophyta; Magnoliopsida; Fabales; Fabaceae. The record is from Rfam.